GACUGGGGCUCAGAGGUAGAGCGCUCGCCUAGCAAUGUGUGAGGCACUGGGUUCGAUCCUCAGCACCACACA
Molecule: transfer RNA, 72 nt
Filed under: Marmota monax (woodchuck)
Lineage: Eukaryota; Metazoa; Chordata; Mammalia; Rodentia; Sciuridae
Description: tRNA.Ala
Source: RNAcentral